RNAcentral lists this ribosomal RNA (495 nucleotides) under uncultured bacterium. Its description in RNAcentral is "bacterial SSU rRNA". It matches the Rfam family "Bacterial small subunit ribosomal RNA", at positions 28 to 511 of the family's 1533-position model. The record is from RNAcentral.
GAUGAACGCUAGCUACAGGCUUAACACAUGCAAGUCGAGGGGCAGCAUGGUCUUAGCUUGCUAAGGCCGAUGGCGACCGGCGCACGGGUGAGUAACACGUAUCCAACCUGCCGUCUACUCUUGGACAGCCUUCUGAAAGGAAGAUUAAUACAAGAUGGCAUCAUGAGUCCGCAUGUUCACAUGAUUAAAGGUAUUCCGGUAGACGAUGGGGAUGCGUUCCAUUAGAUAGUAGGCGGGGUAACGGCCCACCUAGUCUUCGAUGGAUAGGGGUUCUGAGAGGAAGGUCCCCCACAUUGGAACUGAGACACGGUCCAAACUCCUACGGGAGGCAGCAGUGAGGAAUAUUGGUCAAUGGGCGAGAGCCUGAACCAGCCAAGUAGCGUGAAGGAUGACUGCCCUAUGGGUUGUAAACUUCUUUUUAUAAAGGAAUAAAGUCGGGUAUGCAUACCCGUUUGCAUGUACUUUAUGAAUAAGGAUCGGCUAACUCCGUGCCAG